RNAcentral lists this ribosomal RNA (755 nucleotides) under uncultured bacterium. RNAcentral's name for it is "bacterial SSU rRNA". It matches the Rfam family "Bacterial small subunit ribosomal RNA", at positions 8 to 796 of the family's 1533-position model. The record is from RNAcentral.
AGAGUUUGAUCCUGGCUCAGAUCAACGCUGGCGGCGCGCUUAACACAUGCAAGUCGCACGAGAAAGUGGAGCAAUCCAUGAGUACAGUGGCGUACGGGUGAGUAACACGUGGAUUAUCUACCUUCUAGUGGGGAAUACCUCUGGGAAACCGGAGACAAUACCGCAUAAGCUCGUGAGAGGAAAGCAGCAAUGCGCUGGAAGAGGAGUCCGCGGCUGAUUAGCUAGUUGGCGGGGUAAUGGCCCACCAAGGCGAAGAUCGGUAGCCGGCCUGAGAGGGCACACGGCCACACUGGCACUGAAACACGGGCCAGACUCCUACGGGAGGCAGCGGUGGGGAAUCUUGCACAAUGGGCGAAAGCCUGAUGCAGCGACGCCGCGUGAGCGAUGAAGCCCUUCGGGGUGUAAAGCUCUUUCGACGGGAACGAUAAUGACGGUACCCGAAGAAGAAGCUGCGGCUAACUACGUGCCAGCAGCCGCGGUAAUACGUAGGCAGCGAGCGUUGUUCGGAAUUACUGGGCGUAAAGAGUGUGUAGGCGGUGCUCUAAGUCUGUUGUGAAAUCUCCCGGCUCAACUGGGAGGGUGCGGCGGAAACUGGAGUGCUCGAGUGUGGGAGAGGUAAGCGGAAUUCCUGGUGUAGCGGUGAAAUGCGUGGAUAUCAGGAGGAACACCUGUGGUGUAGACAGCUUACUGGACCACGACUGACGCUGAGACACGAAAGCGUGGGUAGCAAACAGGAUUAGAUACCCUAGUAGUCC